This 254-nucleotide ribosomal RNA is filed under the name uncultured bacterium. RNAcentral describes it as "partial 16S ribosomal RNA". It matches the Rfam family "Bacterial small subunit ribosomal RNA", at positions 524 to 776 of the family's 1533-position model. The record is from RNAcentral.
UACGUAGGGGGCGAGCGUUGUCCGGAUUUAUUGGGCGUAAAGAGCGUGUAGGCGGCCAGACAGGUCCGUUGUGAAAACUAGAGGCUUAACCUCUAGACGUCGAUGGAAACCGUCUGGCUAGAGUCCGGAAGAGGAGAAUGGAAUUCCUGGUGUAGCGGUGAAAUGCGCAGAUAUCAGGAAGAACACCCGUGGCUAAGGCGGUUCUCUAGUACGGUACUGACGCUGAGAACGCGAAAGCGUGGGGAGCAAACGGG